UACGUAGGGGGCGAGCGUUAUCCGGAUUCGUUGGGCGUAAAGCGCGCGUAGGCGGCCGCCUAAGCGGAACCUCUAACCCCGGGGCUCAACCUCGGGCCGGGUUCCGGACUGGGCGGCUCGGGUGCGGUAGAGGAGAGCGGAAUUCCCGGUGUAGCGGUGGAAUGCGCAGAUAUCGGGAAGAACACCGAUGGCGAAGGCAGCUCUCUGGGCCGUCACUGACGCUGAGGCGCGAAAGCUGGGGGAGCGAACAGG
This 252-nucleotide ribosomal RNA is filed under the name uncultured bacterium. RNAcentral describes it as "partial 16S ribosomal RNA". It matches the Rfam family "Bacterial small subunit ribosomal RNA", at positions 524 to 776 of the family's 1533-position model. The record is from RNAcentral.